This 62-nucleotide non-coding RNA is filed under the name Ctenophora environmental sample. The record is from RNAcentral. Lineage: Eukaryota; Metazoa; Ctenophora.
AACAAAAAAAAAAAGAAAAAAAAAAAAGAAAAAAACUAGUUAUUGAGGUCUUAGGUGUCUCU